GCCUGGGUGGCUCAGUCGGUAGAGCGUCCGACUUCAGCUCAGGUCAUCUCACAGUCUGUGAGAUCGAGCCCCGCCUCGGGCU
This 82-nucleotide transfer RNA is filed under the name Felis catus (domestic cat). It matches the Rfam family "tRNA". Rfam says of the family: Transfer RNA (tRNA) molecules are approximately 80 nucleotides in length. Their secondary structure includes four short double-helical elements and three loops (D, anti-codon, and T loops). Further hydrogen bonds mediate the characteristic L-shaped molecular structure. tRNAs have two regions of fundamental functional importance: the anti-codon, which is responsible for specific mRNA codon recognition, and the 3' end, to which the tRNAs corresponding amino acid is attached (by aminoacyl-tRNA synthetases). tRNAs cope with the degeneracy of the genetic code in two manners: having more than one tRNA (with a specific anti-codon) for a particular amino acid; and 'wobble' base-pairing, i.e. permitting non-standard base-pairing at the 3rd anti-codon position. The record is from Rfam by way of RNAcentral. Lineage: Eukaryota; Metazoa; Chordata; Mammalia; Carnivora; Felidae.